AAAGUCGUAACAAGGUCUCCGUUGGUGAACCAGCGGAGGGAUCAUUACAGAGUUAUCCAACUCACCAAAACCAUGUGAACUUACCUACGUUGCCUCGGCGGGGAAACCUACCCGGGAGCUACCCUAUAGUAGCCUACCCGGUACCUACCCGGUAGCUACCCUGUAGUUGUAGGCUUACCCGCCGGCGGACCAUCCAAACUCUUGUUUUUAUCUCGGCACUUCUGAAUUAUCAUAAAUUAAGUUAAAACUUUCAACAACGGAUCUCUUGGUUCUG
RNAcentral lists this unclassified non-coding RNA (274 nucleotides) under Ascomycota sp. Its description in RNAcentral is "partial contains small subunit ribosomal RNA, internal transcribed spacer 1, and 5.8S ribosomal RNA". The stretch from base 1 to 47 matches the Rfam family "Eukaryotic small subunit ribosomal RNA", at positions 1785 to 1831 of the family's 1831-position model. The record is from RNAcentral. Lineage: Eukaryota; Fungi; Ascomycota.